Molecule: ribosomal RNA, 488 nt
Filed under: Klebsiella pneumoniae
Lineage: Bacteria; Pseudomonadati; Pseudomonadota; Gammaproteobacteria; Enterobacterales; Enterobacteriaceae
Description: bacterial SSU rRNA
Rfam family: Bacterial small subunit ribosomal RNA
Source: RNAcentral
GCUACACAUGCAGUCGAGCGGUAGCACAGAGAGCUUGCUCUCGGGUGACGAGCGGCGGACGGGUGAGUAAUGUCUGGGAAACUGCCUGAUGGAGGGGGAUAACUACUGGAAACGGUAGCUAAUACCGCAUAAUGUCGCAAGACCAAAGUGGGGGACCUUCGGGCCUCAUGCCAUCAGAUGUGCCCAGAUGGGAUUAGCUAGUAGGUGGGGUAACGGCUCACCUAGGCGACGAUCCCUAGCUGGUCUGAGAGGAUGACCAGCCACACUGGAACUGAGACACGGUCCAGACUCCUACGGGAGGCAGCAGUGGGGAAUAUUGCACAAUGGGCGCAAGCCUGAUGCAGCCAUGCCGCGUGUGUGAAGAAGGCCUUCGGGUUGUAAAGCACUUUCAGCGGGGAGGAAGGCGGUGAGGUUAAUAACCUCGUCGAUUGACGUUACCCGCAGAAGAAGCACCGGCUAACUCCGUGCCAGCAGCCGCCGGUAAUAAA